This 217-nucleotide long non-coding RNA is filed under the name Brassica napus (rape). RNAcentral's name for it is "long non-coding RNA (BNAP_LNC007465)". Lineage: Eukaryota; Viridiplantae; Streptophyta; Magnoliopsida; Brassicales; Brassicaceae. The record is from RNAcentral.
GGGUUUAUAUUUGGGUUUAGGAUUUAUAUUUCGGUUUAGGGUUUAGUAAUUAAUGUUUAGGGUUUAGUAUUUAGAGGGAAGCGUGAGGUUUAGGGUUUAGGGUUUAGUAUUUAGGAACAAGGGUUUGGAGUAAAUUUUAGUAUUUACGAGUUGUGAGUGGGUUUGGAGUCAUAUACUACUUUAAUGAUAUGGUAUAGAAAAUUCAGAUUGGAUUAGU